UACAGAGACCUCAAGCGUUAUCCGGAUUUAUUGGGCGUAAAGCGUCCGCAGGUGGCUUGUUAAGUCUCCCGUCAAAUCUCUGGGCUCAACCCAGGGGCUGCGGGGGAUACUGGCGAGCUCGAGGAUGGGAGAGGCAAGCGGAAUUACCGGUGUAGUGGUAAAAUGCGUAAAUAUCGGGAAGAACACCAAAGGCGAAGGCAGCUUGCUGGAACAUUCCUGACACUCAUGGACGAAAGCGUGGGGAGCGAAGAGG
This 253-nucleotide ribosomal RNA is filed under the name uncultured bacterium. RNAcentral describes it as "partial 16S ribosomal RNA". It matches the Rfam family "Bacterial small subunit ribosomal RNA", at positions 524 to 776 of the family's 1533-position model. The record is from RNAcentral.